Molecule: small RNA, 148 nt
Filed under: Macaca mulatta (Rhesus monkey)
Lineage: Eukaryota; Metazoa; Chordata; Mammalia; Primates; Cercopithecidae
Description: Metazoan signal recognition particle RNA (ENSMMUG00000052361.1)
Source: Rfam by way of RNAcentral
GCCAGGUGUGGUGACGCACACCUGUAAUCCCAGCUACUCGGGAGGCUGAGGCAGUAGAAUUGCUUGAACCCAGGAGGCGGAGUUGCAGUGAGCUGAGAUCGCGCCACUGCACUCCAGCCCUGGGCGACAAAGCAAGACUCCGUCUCAA